This 499-nucleotide long non-coding RNA is filed under the name Homo sapiens (human). Its description in RNAcentral is "macrophage interferon regulatory lncRNA". Lineage: Eukaryota; Metazoa; Chordata; Mammalia; Primates; Hominidae. The record is from RNAcentral.
ACAGUGUAGGAUCCAGCCAACAGGACCAGGACAGCACUGGCUACACUGGCUUAUCGAUUACAUCCCACAAUAGAAAGGAUGCUCAGGCAUAUGGCCUCAGAAACAUGGGCUAUUGAGACAGAGAAAAAGACAACUCUGGAAGGAGAGAGCCUGGCCUUACAGAAGACAUCUGAACUAUCAAUCAACAGAAAUCUCACGUAUAGUUGAAGAAUCAGAAAUCUGAGCGUAGGAAGAAGUGGGUUAGCCCUGGAGAAAGGAAAAGGAGGAUCAUGGUUCUCUGCAAAGAGCUGGAAGCUAAAAAGCAGGCUGUGUUUACUUACCAACCAGGACUCAGUGGGAUCUUUGCCAGCUUCCAAUAUGGCCUUAAAAGUAUAUGAAAUCCAAGAAAUAUUUCUGCAAAGCAAGAGAUCUUCACUGCUUUAUUUUCCACCACCUGAAUCCUUGCAGUGAGUGUAGUGUGUAUCUAAUCAAUCUAUUAAAAAAUACUUCAAAAGUUCUA